This 5087-nucleotide long non-coding RNA is filed under the name Marmota monax (woodchuck). The record is from RNAcentral. Lineage: Eukaryota; Metazoa; Chordata; Mammalia; Rodentia; Sciuridae.
CUACAAAGAAGCAAGGACUCAAAACCCUGGUUCCUCCACUAAUUCCCUGAGGACAUUAGCAAGGGACCACUUUGCCUCUCCGAGCCUGAGUUUUUAGACCAUAACAUGGAGAGCCUCAUACUUGCCCUGCAGGUGGUUACAAAGAUGGGGUGAGAGACACACAGCUCCCUGCACAGGGAAUGGGCCCUGGUCGGAACUUCCCAGCAGGGCACUAGUGGAAGUGGCUACUGUAGAUUUCAAGAAACUCCCAGUCUGGGGAAAGGUCCAAUGUUAACAGAUAAAGGUCACUGGUGGGAUGGGUAUGACUGUAGUUUUUGAAGCUAACAUUUACUGAACGUGUACCACAUGCCAGACACUGUGGCACACAACUGCACCUGGAUGAUUCCAUUCAUCCUGCACAAAACUGUCUGAAGCAGAGACCAGUUGUUCCCAGUGAGAAGCCUGCGGCUCAGGCAGUUUUAGCUGUAUGCCCAGGACAGAGAGCUGGAAAGGCGCAGAGGCAGGAUUUCAGUCUGGACAUCUGACCCCAGAGGUAGAUUUCGAGGUGCAAUGAGACAAAAAGGAGCCAUGCAGGAGGGCUUUACAGAGGUGAGGCCGGAGAGGCAAAGAGGAGCUCUGCAGGCCCCAAGGCAUGGGAGGAGGUGUUGGGGCAGGAGGGCAAAGCAGGUACACAGAGUCAGCAGGACCUGGCCCCUGGUGUUCAGGAGUUCAGGGGUUGGAGUGAGGGUUUGGCAUGAGGACAGUGGGGUCUAGAGGAUGAGGAAAGGAGGAGCAGACAGGGUAGUGGGACACCUGAAAGGCCAGGCACAGGACUUGGACUUUCUACCUGGAGGAUAUGGGGACUAAUGAAGGAUGUUAAAGGCAGGCUCAGAGCAGGAGUGUGAUCUACUUACCUGUGUGCAAAGAGGAGAUGACUCCGACAGCGUGUUGGAACCAGUGUCUUCAUCAUGUUUUCCAACUAAAUUACAACUUUCUACAAACCGUUCAUGUACAAGUUCCACUUCCUCCCCUAGAAGCCAAUUAGUUCCUUAAGUUUAACUCCGACCCUAAUUGCUUGUGGUCUCCCACAGUACCUGGCAUUGGUAGGUGCUUAAAAUUUUUAUUGAAUGAAUAAGUAGUUAAAAGCAUGAGAGGAUUUCACAUUUAGGACCAUGGUCUCUGAAAUACUGAAUUUUGAGCUAGAUUUAAGAAAAUGCAUACAUCUGAGUUGGAUCACAGACCUGAGCGUAAAUGGGAAAACAGGAAAAGCUUCUAGAAGAAAGCCCAGGAGGAUAUCUUGAUCACAGGAUUUCUUAAACAGCAUAUGAACACACCAGCCACCAAAGAAAAGACUGAUAAAUUGAACUUCAUUAGAAUUAAGAAUUUCCGUUCCUAAAAGAGACCACUUAAAAGUAAAAAGGCAAACUAUGAACUAGAGGCAGAAAUUCAUCUUUACAUACAUAUACUGAAAAAACCCUUGCAAAUUAAUUUAAAAUAAUGGGGCUAAGGGUGUGGCUCAGGGAUAGAGCACUUGCUUAGCAUGAGUGAAGCCCUGAGUUGGAACCCCAGCUCCACAAAAAAGCAGCAGUAGUGACAAAACUUGAAUAACCUCCUAACACCAACCACAGAACACCAAGUGGUUACAUGGUAUAUAAAAAAGGCAUUCACCAUCAUCAUUCACCAGAGAAAUACAAAUGAAUACAAGAGAUGUCAUUGCACAUCAAUCAGAGGGUACAAUUAAAUGACUGGCAUCACCAAUUACUACAGGAUGUGGAGCCACCAGAACUCUCAGACAGUACUGGUGGGAGUAUAAUUUGAAAAACUUGGAAAACUUCGGCAGUCCCUGCUCAGGCUGAACAUAUGCCCAUCCUACAACUCAACAGUUGAACUCUUAGACCUAGCCUCAAAAGGAAAAAGUGUGGACAUCCCACCAACACUCUUUAAGAACAUCCAUAACAGUUCACUGCAAUAGUCCCAAACUGGGAACCAUCCAAAGAUUCAUCAAUAGCAAAGUGGGUAAGUUGUUACACAUCCACACAAUGGUACACUCAUAGCAAUAAAGAAAUCAUUGCUACAAGUGGCAAAAAGGAAGGAUCUCAAAGACCUCAUAUGGAGUGAAAAAAACCAAACACAAAAGCUGAAGUAAAGGAGAAGUUGGGAGAGUGGUACUGAGGAACAGCACGGCUGAGAGCACCUUCAGGUCUUACUCGAAAUGUCCUUCAUCUUGACCUGGCUGGUGAUUUCACGGGUAUCAUCAUCCCCAAAUGUGCACGGAGCUGCACACACGAGGUUAGUGCACCUUACUCUAGGCUAUACUUUGGCAGAAACUUUUUAAAAAAUAAAUGAAAAGUAUUAAUUAGUUCCAAAACUUGGUGGUGAAAGAAGAGGUCUGACAUAUUUCAGAAAAUAGAUGAAUGGAUUAAAUGCUAAAAACAAAAUAAAGGCAGGGGGCAUGAAAAAAAUGGGGUAGAAUGGAAUGUUUAAAGAACUGUAAGUGUCAGAUAGAGUUAGAAAAUAGAUGAAGUUUGCCCAAAUCCUAGGGAGAAGCAAGAAGGGAGCUUGUCAACCCAGGCCUGGAGGAGGUACACCUGCCAGGGCCCAGACUGUGCAGGUGGAGAGACUAGGCUGUCACUUAAAGUCAACUGGAAGUUAAUAAUGACUGAGCAGGGAAGGAUGCCACUAGAAACAAGGACGAUGGUGAGGGGAUAGUAAAGCAUUUAUUGAGCACCUUCUAUGUGCCAGACCCAGUGGUCAGCACUUCACCAGCAUCACGUCACUUUAUCCUGGUGGUAAGCGUGGGAGGAACUGCUAUAUUAUCCCAAUUUCUCAGAAGAAGGAACUAAGAAGCCAUGGAACUUUCCCCAAGUCCCAAGGCUGGGAGAAAGAGACCCAGGAGGAAGCAGUUAAGGAAUCCAAGGAAUUAAAGGGAUUCAAAUGACUUCACAGACAUUUAAAAGAGACCCUAAGGCUCAGGCCAGUUACACAAUGGAAAUUCUACUGAAUAAACUGGCUCAUUGAACGACCAGCUGUGCACCAGCUAGGAUUGUUGGGAAGGACAAAUUUUGACCCAUGAUGGUCAUAAGUAUAUGACCAGCAUACAAUACCCAAGCCAAAUUGAUAGGGUAAAAAGUGCAAAGCAGUGCACCUUGAGAGAGAAAAAUAAAGUUCUGGCAUUGAACCUCAUUUGAAAAAGUGAUUGGGAACAUCUAUGCCCAGAGCUGUUGUAUUGGGACCUUCCAAGGUAUGGAAGUUUAGUUUCAGGUCCUUUGAUAAGUCGGCUUCCUCCAAAUUGGCAGUGUUGGAUAAGAUGGCAAGAGAUGGAAAGAUCCAGGAGGCCUUUCAGUCACACAUUCAUUUAGAAAGUAAAUAUUUAUUGAGCACAUGCUAUAUUCCUAUUAUUUUAGUCUAGCAAUACUUUGAAGAGCAAGCUAAGAGAAUAAGAGAGUCUGUGAAAUUAGACAGUACAAAAGUGGGAACAUGCCAGGCCAGUUUGGCUGGAGCACACUGAGAGGUGCGUGUGACAGGAAGUGAGGUUACAGGGGAAACAGAAGGCCAGAUCACACAGGGCUUUGAAGGCCAUGGUAGGGGCAUAAGAUUUUUAUAAGUUUGAUGGAAAGCCACUAGAGGACUUUGAACUAAAAUAUGGCUUGAUCUAAUUACCUUACGGGAAGAAAGAAUUCCUAAGGAGGCAAGAGAAGAGGCCAGAGGGGUGAAUGGAGGCCGAAUCAGGGUGAUAUUGGUGGAGGCCGUGAGAAGGGCUGGAUUCAGAAGACAGUUUGCCUAAGACAUGCAGGAUUUGCUGAUGGGUUGGAUGAAGGGCCUGAGAAAGGUCAAGAAUGACUCCAAGUUUUUACCUGGGUAAAUGAAUGGUGCUGCCGCUUACUUGAAUAAUUAGGUUCAAGGGGUAAAAUCAACGUAUUUCCUGACACGUUGGGUCCACAGGUCUGUUAGAUGUCCAGCUGGUCUCUAGUCUCUGUCUCUGCUUCCUGGCUGCCAUAAGCUGAGCAGCUCCCUUCAUCAUGCCUUUCUGCCGUGAUGUUACGCUUCACCUUGGGCCAAAGCAAUGGAGUCAGCCAACCAUUGACUGGACCUAUACAACUAUGAGCCAAAAUAAACUUUCCUCCGCUAAAAAACAAACCAACAAAGGAGAUGUCCAAUUGGAGAUGGCAAGCAGGCUGUUGAGUAAGUCAGUUUAGAGUUCAGAGGAGAAUUAUAGAAAACAUCUGAAGUCACCCCUUAUAGAUGGAAAAAUCUCCAAUCUCCUUAUCUAUUAUUUUUAUUUAUUUUUAGGUACUGGGGACUGAACCUAGGGUGUUUUUAUCACUAAGCUACAUCACCAGCCCUUCCUAUUUUAAGACAGGGUCUUGCUAGGUUGCCCAGGCUAGUCUUGAACUUGUAAUCCUCCUGCCUCAGCCUUCUGAGGUGCUAGGAUUACAGGCAUGUGCUGCCAUGCCCAGCUACAUUCAGCCAGAAUUUAUUGAGCACCUACUGUGUGUCCAGCAUUGUGCUGUGGUGGUGGCAGAGCAUGGAUUUGGACAGAAACUAUCCUUGUAUGGUCUUGGAGCUUCAUUACAACUUAAUUAGUUCCCUGGUUUCUGAGACUGUUCUCUGACUACUGUGAAAUAUAUAGAAUCAACUCUCAAGUGUUAUAAAUACUAAGAUGUUCUCUGACUCAGCAAUUUGGAAGAGCUUAGAUUUUUCGGAAAGCAAAAAGCUAUAUAUAGAUUUGGACAAAUGACAAAUUUACCCAAUAAAAUGUCUGAAGUCUACCUUAAAAUGAAUCAGAAGAGACUGUCUCAACCAAAUUGGUGUUCAUGAAGUCAACCUGGUGUAAUGGAAAAGCUUGCAGGGCUGGAAGGCACUUCUGUUUUGCCCAACAAGGUCACUUGAAUGACCUUGACCAAGACCUCUGCUAGUCUUGUACUUCAGUAUUCUCUUCAAUAAGCUGAAUCCAUCUGAUUCAAUGUUUUCUAAAGUUUUCAAACUACUGGCUUUUUUCUUUGUUUUACAGUGUUCAUUUUAUUGGACUAAUAAUUUUUUUAAAAUAAAGGCCCAAAUUCCUAAGGUGAUUCUUCUCUUGAGGGCCCACCUUCCACAGCAAAAGAAAG